GGUUCACUCCCUGUUAAAUCUUUAGAGGGCAAGGAGGCUGAUCACUACAAUGGUGAACAACUUUGAAGUCAUAUUCAGUAAUCCAGAAACUUGUGCUGUAAAAAGCAUGGAAGUGGCAAGCAUUCGUAGCUCAGACUGUGUACUUCUACGGGAAGGUGAGAUAGCCACUGUGAGCCUCCCUUUUCCAAUGUGCAGCAGUUUUGGGAAUGUCAGCCGGCACCAACAAGAUUAUUUCCGCCAUAGCUCCAACAGAGUCAGAUGGGCUGACCUGCAAAGAUGCUGAAGUCCUCCAGAAAACAGCAAUUUGUCAUUAAAUCUGAAGCCACAAUGUC
Hemicordylus capensis (graceful crag lizard) is the source of this 332-nucleotide long non-coding RNA. RefSeq lists it as uncharacterized. The record is from RefSeq and is a predicted model, not a curated record. Lineage: Eukaryota; Metazoa; Chordata; Lepidosauria; Squamata; Cordylidae. The transcript has 2 exons.